Molecule: ribosomal RNA, 391 nt
Filed under: Priestia megaterium
Lineage: Bacteria; Bacillati; Bacillota; Bacilli; Caryophanales; Bacillaceae
Description: bacterial SSU rRNA
Rfam family: Bacterial small subunit ribosomal RNA
Source: RNAcentral
UGGGCGUAAGCGCGCGCAGGCGGUUUCUUAAGUCUGAUGUGAAAGCCCACGGCUCAACCGUGGAGGGUCAUUGGAAACUGGGGAACUUGAGUGCAGAAGAGAAAAGCGGAAUUCCACGUGUAGCGGUGAAAUGCGUAGAGAUGUGGAGGAACACCAGUGGCGAAGGCGGCUUUUUGGUCUGUAACUGACGCUGAGGCGCGAAAGCGUGGGGAGCAAACAGGAUUAGAUACCCUGGUAGUCCACGCCGUAAACGAUGAGUGCUAAGUGUUAGAGGGUUUCCGCCCUUUAGUGCUGCAGCUAACGCAUUAAGCACUCCGCCUGGGGAGUACGGUCGCAAGACUGAAACUCAAAGGAAUUGACGGGGGCCCGCACAAGCGGUGGAGCAUGUGGU